Molecule: ribosomal RNA, 552 nt
Filed under: uncultured bacterium
Lineage: Bacteria
Description: partial 16S ribosomal RNA
Rfam family: Bacterial small subunit ribosomal RNA
Source: RNAcentral
UAGGGAAUCUUCGGCAAUGGGGGCAACCCUGACCGAGCAACGCCGCGUGAGUGAAGAAGGUUUUCGGAUCGUAAAGCUCUGUUGUAAGUCAAGAACGGGUGUGAGAGUGGAAAGUUCACACUGUGACGGUAGCUUACCAGAAAGGGACGGCUAACUACGUGCCAGCAGCCGCGGUAAUACGUAGGUCCCGAGCGUUGUCCGGAUUUAUUGGGCGUAAAGCGAGCGCAGGCGGUUUGAUAAGUCUGAAGUUAAAGGCUGUGGCUCAACCAUAGUUCGCUUUGGAAACUGUCAAACUUGAGUGCAGAAGGGGAGAGUGGAAUUCCAUGUGUAGCGGUGAAAUGCGUAGAUAUAUGGAGGAACACCGGUGGCGAAAAGCGGCUCUCUGGUCUGUAACUGACGCUGAGGCUCGAAAAGCGUGGGGAGCGAAACAGGAUUAGAUACCCUGGUAGUCCACGCCGUAAAACGAUGAGUGCUAGGUGUUGGAUCCUUUCCGGGAUUCAGUGCCGCAGCUAACGCAUUAAGCACUCCGCCUGGGGAGUACGACCGCAAGGU